This 508-nucleotide ribosomal RNA is filed under the name uncultured bacterium. RNAcentral's name for it is "partial 16S ribosomal RNA". It matches the Rfam family "Bacterial small subunit ribosomal RNA", at positions 28 to 507 of the family's 1533-position model. The record is from RNAcentral.
GACGAACGCUGGCGGCGUGCCUAAUACAUGCAAGUCGAACGCUUCUUUCCUCCCGAGUGCUUGCACUCAAUUGGAAAGAGGAGUGGCGGACGGGUGAGUAACACGUCGGUAACCUACCCAUCAGAGGGGGAUAACACUUGGAAACAGGUGCUAAUACCGCAUAACAGUUUAUGCCGCAUGGCAUAAGAGUGAAAGGCGCUUUCGGGUGUCGCUGAUGGAUGGACCCGCGGUGCAUUAGCUAGUUGGUGAGGUAACGGCUCACCAAGGCCACGAUGCAUAGCCGACCUGAGAGGGUGAUCGGCCACACUGGAACUGAGACACGGCCCAGACUCCUACGGGAGGCAGCAGUCGGGAAUCUUCGGCAAUGGACGAAAGUCUGACCGAGCAACGCCGCGUGAGUGAAGAAGGUUUUCGGAUCGUAAAGCUCUGUUGUUAGAGAAGAACAGGGACGUUAGUAACUGAACGUCCCCUGACGGUAUCUAACCAGAAAGCCACGGCUAACUACGUG